ACAGUAUAGGAAACAGUAGUCACAAACUAGGCAUCUGACAAAGGACUAAUGUCCAGACUCCAAAGGAACUGAAAGAAAUCAGCAAGAAGAAAAGGUGCCAUUUACCACCUUCCUGACUCAUUGGCCAGAACCAAUGUUAGUGGAAUUAACAUAUGCCCCACCCCAAGUGACUUCUAAAGGGCUAACUCACCACAAGGGAGUCAGAGCAGAUCUUGGACUGAGACCUACAGGACACAGGUACUGCUUUUUCUCUUUUAUUUGUUUUAAAUUUUAUUUAUGUUUUUAGAUCAAAUAGUUCAGAUUGCAUUGGUUUUUAAUCUGCUGUUGUUGGAUUAACAUAUGCUUUAAGCGACUCUUAAAUAGGUGGCUCACCAGGAGAAAGGCAUAGCAGAACCUGGACUGAGACCUACGGGAGACAGCAGGCAGACACACAGGAGGUUGGACGUCGAGAGGAGCACAUCAGUGCAAGAACACAUGGGUGGCUGCCACUUCUCUCCCUUUCCUGAGAGGGAAAAACUCUCGACGCUGAGAGGAAUCCACCAACAGGCACCAGCACUCUGGCAGGCCACCGACCAAUGGAUUGACAUAGAGUUUGGCUGGGGCAGCCAGAGGAGAGCCUGGGCCGCUGAAUAACCCGACUUCAGGGGAAAACUAUUCUCCCUUUUGGCUCCCCCAUCUGCUGAGAGCUACUUCCACUCAAUAAAACCUUGCACUCAUUCUCCAA
This 724-nucleotide long non-coding RNA is filed under the name Homo sapiens (human). RNAcentral describes it as "HSALNT0398007". The record is from RNAcentral. Lineage: Eukaryota; Metazoa; Chordata; Mammalia; Primates; Hominidae.